RNAcentral lists this ribosomal RNA (253 nucleotides) under uncultured bacterium. RNAcentral describes it as "partial 16S ribosomal RNA". It matches the Rfam family "Bacterial small subunit ribosomal RNA", at positions 524 to 776 of the family's 1533-position model. The record is from RNAcentral.
UACGAAGGGUGCAAGCGUUAAUCGGAAUUACUGGGCGUAAAGCGUGCGUAGGCGGUUUGUUAAGUCUGCUGUGAAAUCCCCGGGCUCAACCUGGGAACUGCGUUUGUGACUGUAUGACUAGAGUACGGUAGAGAGGGGUGGAAUUCCUGGUGUAGCAGUGAAAUGCGUAGAUAUCAGGAGGAACAUCGAUGGCGAAGGCAGCCCCUUGGACCUGUACUGACGCUCAUGCACGAAAGCGUGGGGAGCAAACAGG